CAGUAGCGUAUAUUAAAGCUGUUGCGGUUAAAAAGCUCGUAGUUGGAUAUCAGUGCGUGUCCGGUCCGGUAUGCCCAGCGGCGGCGCUCGCGCGUCACUGCCGGGCUCCCAAAUAUCGGCUGGCCGCAUUCAAUCGUGCCGGAUCCGUCGACGGGCCGUUCUACGGAGGGGCCUGUUGGCGACCGGCGACGUUACCUUGAACAAAUUAGAGUGCUCAAAGCAGGCUCUGAAUGCCUGUAUACAUAUUCAUGGAAUUGAAGAAUACGUCCCUGGCUCGAUUUGGUUGGUUUUGAGAGUCGAAGGGAAAUGAUUAAUAGGGACUGACGGAGGCAUUCGUAUUGCGACGCGAGGGGUGAAAUCCUGUGACCGUCGCACGACGAACUACUGCGAAAGCAUUUGCCGAGAAUGUUUUCAUUAG
This 418-nucleotide ribosomal RNA is filed under the name uncultured eukaryote. RNAcentral's name for it is "partial 18S ribosomal RNA". It matches the Rfam family "Eukaryotic small subunit ribosomal RNA", at positions 592 to 976 of the family's 1831-position model. The record is from RNAcentral.